This 253-nucleotide ribosomal RNA is filed under the name uncultured bacterium. Its description in RNAcentral is "partial 16S ribosomal RNA". It matches the Rfam family "Bacterial small subunit ribosomal RNA", at positions 524 to 776 of the family's 1533-position model. The record is from RNAcentral.
UACAGAGGUGGCGAGCGUUGUUCGGAUUUACUGGGCGUAAAGGGCGCGUAGGCGGCGCAGUAUGUCGGGUGUGAAAUCUCCAGGCUCAACCUGGAAAGUGCACCCGAAACUACUGCGCUAGAGUACGGGAGGGGAGAUCGGAAUACAUGGUGUAGCGGUGAAAUGCGUUGAUAUCAUGUAGAACACCGGUGGCGAAGGCGGAUCUCUGGAACGUAACUGACGCUGAGGCGCGAAAGUCGGGGGAGCAAACAGG